This 255-nucleotide unclassified non-coding RNA is filed under the name Hevea brasiliensis (rubber tree). The record is from RNAcentral. Lineage: Eukaryota; Viridiplantae; Streptophyta; Magnoliopsida; Malpighiales; Euphorbiaceae.
GCCGAAAUUAUGCCAAAGAAUGUUUCUGGAGUCCAUACUGCCCAGAAGAAAUCCUUGGAAAAGUUUAACCUUUGGCUGUUGAAAGUCCAACCUUCGGUUGCUGAAGUUUAUAUUGCCCAAGAUAAAACCUUAUAUUUGACUUACUAGCCUCACACUUGGCACAUAAAACACAUACGUCGCUUCUACUGUUCGUGAAACCCUAAGUUUCACCGGAAUUUCCCAUUAACAAUAGGAAUUUCGACAUCAGAAAAUGGU